This is a long non-coding RNA of Syngnathus acus (greater pipefish), 659 nucleotides long. RefSeq lists it as uncharacterized. The transcript has 3 exons. Lineage: Eukaryota; Metazoa; Chordata; Actinopteri; Syngnathiformes; Syngnathidae. The record is from RefSeq and is a predicted model, not a curated record.
CCUGCAUUAGGUACACAGCUUUUCGCAAACGCUAACAUAUCACAAUUAAAUGACAUUUUGGUUGCCUGAUGAUGUUUUAUGUUUGCUAUGGUGACUGAAUCAAAUUUUGUUUCCUGACACAGGAUGGCCCUUUCCCCGAGUCACAAGACAAAUAGAGGAAUUUCAUUCUCCUAAACUGUGGCUGUUGCUGACAAGUAGCCUUCUCUUCCUCAAACAGGCUUAUGUGGCAAGACUUGAGCGUGUGUAUAGGUGAUAGGAAGUUUCGUUUCCGUCCAGUGUUCCUCCUUGCUGCUUCGUUUUACCGUUCACUUCUUCACUUUUAUGGUUGUGCGCAACAUGAACAAGAAGUAGGCGUCUUGGCACGGAAGCUUGCUUGAGAAGAACAAGCGAAGAGCGAGGAGAGGCAAGGUCCAGCUGAGGCAGCUGCUUGCUAUUACUCUCACCCCGCACUACCCCCCCCCUCUGGCAGGAAAUGAGCAAUCAUUUAGUACUGACAGGUGCAAGAGUGUGAUUUUCUGAUGUGACGUGGCCCUUAAACGAUAGACGAACCAAUGUUGUAUCCGCAGUUAGUACUAUAUCAGAAAAAUGUCUGCAGGAUCAAAGAGAAUUCUGAUAUUUGCUUGAAUAAAAUUCAAAAGACGAUUAAUCUGCAAAUUAGU